Molecule: ribosomal RNA, 292 nt
Filed under: uncultured bacterium
Lineage: Bacteria
Description: partial 16S ribosomal RNA
Rfam family: Bacterial small subunit ribosomal RNA
Source: RNAcentral
GUGUCAGCAGCCGCGGUAAUACGGGGGGGGCAAGCGUUGUUCGGAUUUACUGGGCGUAAAGGGCUCGUAGGUGGCCAAUUAAGUCAGGCGUGAAAUCCCCAGGCUCAACUUGGGAACUGCGUCUGAUACUGGUUGGCUUGAAUUCGGGAGAGGGAUGCAGAAUUCCAGGUGUAGCGGUGAAAUGCGUAGAUAUCUGGAGGAAUACCGGUGGCGAAGGCGGCAUCCUGGACCGAGAUUGACACUGAUGAGCGAAAGCCAGGGGAGCAAACGGGAUUAGAUACCCCAGUAGUCC